GGAGAAAUAUCGAAGUGGUCAUAACGGGGCGCACUCGAAAUGCGUUUGGGAUUAUUUCCCACGUGGGUUCGAAUCCCACUUUCUCCG
This 87-nucleotide transfer RNA is filed under the name Finegoldia magna. Its description in RNAcentral is "tRNA-Ser". It matches the Rfam family "tRNA". Rfam says of the family: Transfer RNA (tRNA) molecules are approximately 80 nucleotides in length. Their secondary structure includes four short double-helical elements and three loops (D, anti-codon, and T loops). RNAcentral also lists the same sequence under 1 other name. The record is from RNAcentral. Lineage: Bacteria; Bacillati; Bacillota; Tissierellia; Tissierellales; Peptoniphilaceae.